CCUUGGCGGGGGUCAGCACAGC
This 22-nucleotide unclassified non-coding RNA is filed under the name Chlamydomonas reinhardtii. RNAcentral describes it as "small RNA Cre_1180". The record is from RNAcentral. Lineage: Eukaryota; Viridiplantae; Chlorophyta; Chlorophyceae; Chlamydomonadales; Chlamydomonadaceae.